CGUAAYUUAGGCAUAUUACUAAGCGGAGGAAAAGAAACUAACAAGGAUUCCCCCAGUAGCGGCGAGCGAACAGGGAAGAGUCCAGCACCGAACCCCGCAGGCUGCCGCCUGUCGUGGCAUGUGGUGUUUGGGAGGGUCCACUACCCCGACGCCUCGCGCCGAGUCCAAGUCCAACUUGAAUGAGGCCACGGCCCGUAGAGGGUGCCAGGCCCGUAGCGGCCGGUGCGAGCGUCGGCGGGACCUCUCCUUCGAGUCGGGUUGCUUGAGAGUGCAGCUCCAAGUGGGUGGUAAACUCCAUCUGAGACUAAAUAUGACCACGAGACCGAUAGCGAACAAGUACCGUGAGGGAAAGUUGAAAAGAACUUUGAAGAGAGAGUUCAAAAGUACGUGAAACCGUUCUGGGGUAAACGUGAGAAGUCCGAAAGGUCGAACGGGUGAGAUUCACGCCCAUCCGGCCACUGGCCCCCGCCCUCGGCAGAUGGGGCCGGCCGCCCGCGCGGAGCAAUCCGCGGCGGGGUCGUGUCCGGUUGCCUUUCCACUCGCCGCGGGGUGGGGCCGUUCCAGUGCGCGGUGGGCCGCACUUCUCCCCUAGUAGGACGUCGCGACCCGCUGGGUGCCGGCCUACGGCCCGGGUGCGCAGCCUGUCCUUCCGCGGGCCUCGGUUCGCGUCUGUUGGGCAGAGCCCCGGUGUCCCGGCUGGCUGCUCGGCGGUAUAUCUGGAGGAGUCGAUUCGCCCUUCGGGGCGCCCGGGCUCCCGGCAAGCGCGCGCGGUUCUUCCCGGAUGACGGACCUACCUGGCCCGGCCCCGGACCCGCGCCGCUGUUGGCUCGGGAUGCUCUCGGGCGGAAUAAUCGCUCCCGUCAGCGGCGCUUCAGCUUUGGACAAUUUCACGACCCGUCUUGAAACACGGACCAAGGAGUCUAACAUGUGCGCGAGUCAUUGGGCUGUACGAAACCUAAAGGCGUAAUGAAAGUGAAGGUCUCGCCUUGCGCGGGCCGAGGGAGGAUGGGGCUUCCCCGCCCCUUCGCUGGGGCGGCGGCCUCCGCACUCCCGGGGCGUCUCGUCCUCAUUGCGAGGUGAGGCGCACCUAGAGCGUACACGUUGGGACCCGAAAGAUGGUGAACUAUGCCUGGCCAGGACGAAGUCAGGGGAAACCCUGAUGGAGGUCCGUAGCGAUUCUGACGUGCAAAUCGAUCGUCGGAGCUGGGUAUAGGGGCGAAAGACUAAUCGAACCAUCUAGUAGCUGGUUCCCUCCGAAGUUUCCCUCAGGAUAGCUGGUGCUCGUACGAGUCUCAUCCGGUAAAGCGAAUGAUUAGAGGCCUUGGGGCCGAAACGACCUCAACCUAUUCUCAAACUUUAAAUGGGUGAGAUCUCCGGCUUGCUUGAUAUGCUGAAGCCGCGAGCAAACGACUCGGAUCGGAGUGCCAAGUGGGCCACUUUUGGUAAGCAGAACUGGCGCUGUGGGAUGAACCAAACGCCGAGUUAAGGCGCCCGAAUCGACGCUCAUGGGAAACCAUGAAAGGCGUUGGUUGCUUAAGACAGCAGGACGGUGGCCAUGGAAGUCGGAAUCCGCUAAGGAGUGUGUAACAACUCACCUGCCGAAGCAACUAGCCCUGAAAAUGGAUGGCGCUGAAGCGUCGUGCCUAUACUCGGCCGUCAGUCUGGCAGUCAUGGCCGGUCCUCGCGGCCGGCCGCGAAGCCCUGACGAGUAGGAGGGUCGCGGCGGUGAGCGCAGAAGGGUCUGGGCGUGAGCCUGCCUGGAGCCGCCGUCGGUGCAGAUCUUGGUGGUAGUAGCAAAUACUCCAGCGAGGCCCUGGAGGGCUGACGCGGAGAAGGGUUUCGUGUGAACAGCCGUUGCACACGAGUCAGUCGAUCCUAAGCCCUAGGAGAAAUCCGAUGUCGAUGGGGGCCGUCAUAGCCAGAUGCACUUCUUGCUGGCCCCCGUUGGGCGAAAGGGAAUCCGGUUCCUAUUCCGGAACCCGGCAGCGGAACCGAUACAAGUCGGGCCCCUCUUUUAGAGAUGCUCGUCGGGGUAACCCAAAAGGACCCGGAGACGCCGUCGGGAGAUCGGGGAAGAGUUUUCUUUUCUGCAUGAGCGUUCGAGUUCCCUGGAAUCCUCUAGCAGGGAGAUAGGGUUUGGAACGCGAAGAGCACCGCAGUUGCGGCGGUGUCCCGAUCUUCCCCUCGGACCUUGAAAAUCCGGGAGAGGGCCACGUGGAGGUGUCGCGCCGGUUCGUACCCAUAUCCGCAGCAGGUCUCCAAGGUGAAGAGCCUCUAGUCGAUAGAAUAAU
This 2291-nucleotide ribosomal RNA is filed under the name Tristria discoidalis. RNAcentral describes it as "eukaryotic LSU rRNA". It matches the Rfam family "Eukaryotic large subunit ribosomal RNA", at positions 28 to 1900 of the family's 3401-position model. The record is from RNAcentral. Lineage: Eukaryota; Metazoa; Arthropoda; Insecta; Orthoptera; Acrididae.